CACCACCCAACUCAACUCGAUCCACGGAGAUCCGAAUCGAAUUAUUUAAAAGGAUCCGUGGAUUUGGAUCGGAUUUUAAAAUUGGAUUCGUUAUUUUCUCAGAUCGAGUAUGGAUUUACUAAAUUUUAAUCCAAUCCGAUCCGACCUACUUGAUUUUUUGAGUUUAUAUAGAUUUUAUGCUCAAUGAUCCGAUUUGAUCCGAACCCAUUAUAUGAUCUAAACCUAUUAUAUACUAGCAUGGGCUAAGAAUAAAUUACAGC
RNAcentral lists this long non-coding RNA (260 nucleotides) under Elaeis guineensis (African oil palm). RNAcentral's name for it is "long non-coding RNA (EGUI_LNC006299)". The record is from RNAcentral. Lineage: Eukaryota; Viridiplantae; Streptophyta; Magnoliopsida; Arecales; Arecaceae.